This 3373-nucleotide long non-coding RNA is filed under the name Hordeum vulgare. RNAcentral's name for it is "long non-coding RNA (HVUL_LNC021360)". The record is from RNAcentral. Lineage: Eukaryota; Viridiplantae; Streptophyta; Magnoliopsida; Poales; Poaceae.
ACGUGUUGAUAACGUGUUAGAAUGAAUCCUCUUCCUUUUUCAUUAGAUGAAUAUGGAUAUAUAUACAAAAAGAGAUGCAAUGAAGAGGCAUCUAUUUAGGAGAGAUGGCAGUUACAAAGGGAGAUUACCCCAUAAUUAACACAUGUUAAUUAAACUCUAACAAGAACAUCUUGUGCAACUACAUCAAGCAAUCAAGUAAGUUCUCGGAGGUCAAGAAAGUUCUAACUACAAUUAAAGUUGCCUAGAUUUUUUAUUGACCCCGUCAUAGCAAGGAUUGCAUUUCAAAGCUUGAAUCAUAUGCUUACCGCAGCAUGCUACAAGUCACUGUUUGUUAUAGGACAUUAAGGACAGUAACUCUGUAACUUCUACACACUUCAUUCCCUGCCCACUCAAAUUAAAAUAUUUAGAGAUCAUGCAAGUUCUAGUGGAAACGAUGCAGUUCCCUCCACAUUUUCUCAUCCGGGCUUGGGACCGGCAAAGGCAGUGUUAAACUACGAAACUACUAAACGCAUAAACCAGCAAACACUACAACCAAUUAUUCAGCUAAGCAUACAAGCCACACCGUCAACCAAAGGCAGCAUUGUCCCGACAAACGAAUUGACCAAGGCAAUAAAUAUUCACAACAUUUGCACAAGAUCGUAAGACAGAAACAUAGGGGCACAAACAAGGAAAGCUAUAAAUUCCAGAACCUACUAAUUUCUCUAAUGUGGCAAGGUGAUUCAAAUCUUUAAUCUUGAAUAUCUUCAUCAGUAGGCACAGAGAAAGCUUUCACACUUUUAGCCCGUAAUAGAGUCCUUCGGCCAUAAGAUGUGUCAACAGAUACUUGUGUCUCUUAAAAAUCUAGUAUAUUAUAAGCUUGAUUUAAGAGUGUGCAAUUGGCAGGAAUCAUCAAAUUAGUAUUUUUGCUAGUUAACUAAAUUAAAACUAGGAAGCUCCGGGAAAACCAAUAAUAUGUAAUUGAAGAUUCCAUAAUCCAGAUCAAAUUAACCAUUAGAGGACCGUAAGAUGUGUGGAGGCUUUGUGUCUUCAAAUCCAUGACGAAUGCAGAACGAAACAAACUGACAUAUGUACAAGCUACUUGAGUUGAAAGUAUACAAUCAGCAGUAAAACCAUCAAACUUAGCCCAACUAUUUUACAAAGUUGUCAAAUUAAAAUAGGAAGUUCCCCAGCAAACCGAGAAGAUGCAUUGAAGAUUCGUAAUCCAGAUCCCACUGGAGAACCACCAAUGGUAAGAACAUCACUUCUGAAAAUCAAUUCCAUACCAAUAAGUCGGGAUCAUCGGAGUCAUAUUCAGUGGAAAUGACACUAAUCAAAGACAUGAUGAGUAGUAGUGUCCAUGGCAAACUGUUUGUUCAAGCUUCGAGUCGAGAAGCUUCAACUCUCCAUUUUUUUUGUAUAUAUAGCAAUAAUCCCUAACCUCUUUCUGCGUAUCAAGCCAUCAACAUUACCCAACUAUAGAAGUCAGGAGAGGAUCAGAAACCAAAAAUACGACAUAUUUUGAUGGCUACCAGCAUAGCUUGGGCUAAACAAUCUGCAACCACAAGAAGGCGGAAGCAAAAAAACACAAUCAAUGCUACAAGCACAAAGCAUCUAAGACAACAGAAGCUUCUUCAAGAGAUCAAAUAGAGAGCACUGGGUUUUUUCGGUUGUAGGAUGGCCCGUCUAGAUUGAUGCCCUGCAGCAACCUUCGAACCUUCUACAUCCACCAAUCCAAUCUGAAUGUUCAAAUUUUGUCUCCAUGAGAUAAAUUAUAUGUUCAAAAAUUACGACGAAUUGGAAAGGUGCAGGGUUUAGAAUAUCUUCUAACAUACUCAUCAUCAGGUUGGACCUAAAUCGUCAGUUAGGACCUGCAGUGACCAAGAAACCUCCGUUUGAACUUCUGCUUUGGGGAAACGAAGCUGCCUAUGAACAGCUAAAUGAUGCAUCAAACAGUGAGGGGAUAGGAUAAGCCUACUUGGCUGGGAGAUAUCAGUUAGGGAAACACCAGUUCCAGAUAGCAAACUAUAUUAUCUCUCAUCCAUGUAAAUAUCUGCUAUCAGUUAGGGAAACACCAGUUCCAGAUAGCAAACUAUAUUAUCUCUCAUCGAUGUAAAUAUCUGGAAGGACAUGUAGUUACCAAGGCCAGAGAAAACAAUGUCUAGGAAGUGCAAUGUUCAAAGCAAAUCAGGAAAGAUGAAGUCAAGAGAAGAAACCCCAUGUAAACCAACAGUCAAAGCAAGGCACCUUCCAGAAAGCCCCAUAAGUCCAAUAGCUGGAGAACCAACAGUUCCAUAUGAGAGAUGUUGUAAGCUAAAUUCGACUGUGCAAACAAAGAAACUAAAUUGAGGAUCAAUUAUCCAAACUCAGUUCGCAAAUUCUCUGAUCUCCAUUCCAUGGUUAAUGAUCCAAUCCGACUUCAAUCCAAAACAAAAACUUCAGCACACAAGAUGCUAUCUUAUAUCAUGCAGGGCAUUGAGCCAUAACCAAUCCAAAUAACCAUGAACAGUAAAACAAACCUCCACCCUCUGAUUCAUCACUCAGCAACCAUCACCCUCCGGCAUCUGAAGGAGAACAAACACAUACCCCACAAGCAGAGAUCAGCUGUAACAACGAGAACCAACGAGAAUGCACCUUGUACCGAGGGAUAAUGGUACUCAUGUUGUAGGAUAUGCCACUAGUUUGAAGCUUCAUUCUUGCACCUUCUGCAGCUAAAUCUGAAUUUAAAAUAUUGCCUGGUAAGAGAUCUUAUUAACAUUAUCUCAGUUAAGGAAUUGAGUAGAUAGUGGUUUUAGAAGAACUGCAAACUCAGCAUCAGGUUUGUGGCCUUGAGUUCGUAAGCUACAACCUGCAACGAGCAAGAUAACCUUUCUAUAAAUGUUUCAGCUAGGGGAAAACUGGAUGAAACAAUGAGGAGGUAGAGGAUAAAAUAAGCCUGUCUCGACUGGGAAGGUCAGGUAGACAACACAGGUUCCACUUAUAUAUCCUUUGCAAGACACUAUCUGCAAGAGCUGAGAAUAACUAAGACAGGGAAAACUAAUGUCUGCUGAGUCUAAUUAAUAUUGAAAUAAGAAAGGUCCAGAAAGUUCAAGAGUCUAUUUCGGUUGUAGGAUGUGCCAGGAUUGUCAUUAGAUUCGUGCACCGUUGCAUAUGGAUCUGUAUUAUAAAAUAUUACCUAGUAAGAUAAUAUGUAGGUCAUGAAAGUUAUGAUGAAUUGAGACAAUACUCAUAGAUUUAGAAGAUCUGCAAGCAAAUUCAUCAUCAGGUUGGACUUGAGUUCAUCAACUACAACCUGCAACGAGCAAGAGGCCUUUCUAUAAAUUUUCAGUUAGGGGAAAAUGCUACUUUUAUAUAUAAAUAGCUAAAGCAUGGAUCAAAGAUGGAUGGGGAACAAGUA